CUAAGGAUAGGUCGGCGACUGAUUAGGCAGUUGGCGAGGUAAAGGCUCACCAAACCUUCGAUCAGUAGGGGUCUUGAGAGAGAUAGCCCCGAGAAGGACACUGAGACACUGGUCCUAGCCCUAAGGGGUGCAGCAGGUGCGAAAACUUUACAAUGCACGAAAGUGUGAUAAGGGAAUUCCAAGUGCUUUAUCUUAUGAUAAGGCUUUUAUUAAGUGUAAAAAUCUUAAUGAAUAAGUGGUGGGUAAUACUGGUGCAAGCCGCCGCGGUAACACCAGAGCCACAAGUGGUGACCAUGUUUAUUGGGCCUAAAGCGUUCGUAGCCGGUUUAAUAAAUCUUCUGUGAAAUUGUUGAGCUUAACUUAACAACCUGCAGAAGACACUGUUAGACUUGAAACCAGUAAGAGACAAAAGUAUUCUUAGGGGAGCGGUAAAAUGUUAUAAUCCUAAGAGGACUACCUAUGGCGAAGGCAUUUGUCUAGGAUGGGUUUGACGGUGAGGAACGAAAGCUGGGAGAACGAUCCGGAUUAGAUACCCGAGUAGCCCCAGCCGUAAACGCUGUGGACUAAGUAUUAUGUGUUCUUAGUGAACAUGUAGUGCUGAAGCGAAGGCAUUAAGUUCACCGCCUGGGAAGUACGGCCGCAAGACUGAAACUUAAAGGAAUUGGCGGGGGAGCACUACAAGGGGUGCGGCGUGCGGUUCAAUUGGAUUUUACACCGGGAAACUUACCAGGAGCGACGGCAGAAUGAAGGUCAGAUUAAAGGUUUUACCUGACAAGCCGAGAGAUGGUGCAUGGCCGCCGUCAGCUCGUGCUGUGAAGUGUCCAGUUAAGUCUGGCAACGAGCAAGACCUAUACCUAUAGUUGCGAAUAUAGUCUCCGGAUUAUAAGCACACUAUAGGGACUGCCUUGGUAACAAGGAGGAAGGUGUAGGCAACGGUAGGUCUGUAUGCCUCGAAUCUCCUGGGCUACACGCGCGUAACAAUGGUAAGGACAAUGGGAUACGACUCCGAAAGGAGAAGUCAAACCUUCAAACCUUAUCUUAGUUCGGAUUGAGGUUUGUAACUCAACCUCAUGACGAUGGAAUCCCUAGUAAUCAGAAUUCAUUAUAUUCUGGUGAAUAUGUCCCUGCUCCUUGCACACACUGCCCGUCAAACCACUCGAGCAGAGUUUAGGUAAGGUUUAAUUUUUUGAUUAAAUCGAAUCUAUGCUCAGUAAGAAGGGUUAAGUCGUCACAAGGUAGCUGUAGGGGAACCUGCAGCUG
RNAcentral lists this ribosomal RNA (1260 nucleotides) under marine metagenome. RNAcentral's name for it is "bacterial SSU rRNA". It matches the Rfam family "Archaeal small subunit ribosomal RNA", at positions 203 to 1467 of the family's 1478-position model. The record is from RNAcentral.